Long non-coding RNA from Acipenser ruthenus (sterlet), 773 nucleotides. RefSeq lists it as uncharacterized. The record is from RefSeq and is a predicted model, not a curated record. NCBI's taxonomy places the organism in Eukaryota, Metazoa, Chordata, Actinopteri, Acipenseriformes, Acipenseridae. The transcript is spliced from 6 exons.
GUUAAAACGGGGCCCUUUUACCUCUGUGAAAGGAAAAACCCUCAACCAUCCCCAAGCAGCGUGAGUGGAUGCAGUACCAGCACUGCCCAGUACAGCGCUGAUCUUCCUACCAGAUAUACCUGUACUGUAACCACGCCCUCAGGUGUGUCGCUGGGUCACCACGCCUCUUCCAGAUAGACAUCCCCCGUGACCACGCCCAUUCCAGGUAGAUCAGAAAGAUGGCGGCCAGGGUAACAAGGAACAGUCCACCCUGCCGCAGGUCCCAUCUCUCCAGAGCUGGGGCUGGGAGCCCUGUCCUUUUCCAGCCCUCAAACACAAUCUACUAAAGCACUGAGAGCUGCUCUUUUACACCAUGGCUUUGCAAUCACAAUCCUGGGGUUUCCUCUCCUGCCCCAAACCAGGAUCCCGUCCGUUCUCCCGAGUCUGGGGUCCUGAAGGAAGCAGAUUGAGGCAUGGAGUCCCAUGGAACAAGAGGUGCUGUGUAUUCUGAAGUCUUGGUGAUGCGCUAUCCUGAAUCGACACACAGAUUUUGGAGAGUUCCAGGAAUGUCACGGCUGUCUGGAUAUAAAGGCUGAUUGAUCCACAGAAAAAAGUGCAACCAACGCAACGAUUGGAUCCGCUUUGUCAAAAAAUACACGCUUCAUGUUCCGCAGCGUCGCUCCGGUAAAUUCUGCAAGUCAAAACAAGCGGAUCGAUUGACAAACCAGCUGUGCAAAUUUUUGUCUUCCCCAUGUGCGUGUGUAGAGUAUUUGGUUUUUCAAAUAAAGAUUGGA